UGGGGAAUAUUGGACAAUGGGCGCAAGCCUGAUCCAGCCAUGCCGCGUGAGUGAUGAAGGCCUUAGGGUUGUAAAGCUCUUUUAGCGGGGAAGAUAAUGACGGUACCCGCAGAAAAAGCCCCGGCUAACUUCGUGCCAGCAGCCGCGGUAAUACGAAGGGGGCUAGCGUUGCUCGGAAUUACUGGGCGUAAAGCGCACGUAGGCGGACUCUUAAGUCGGUGGUGAAAUCCUGGAGCUCAACUCCAGAACUGCCUUCGAUACUGGGAGUCUUGAGUUCGGGAGAGGUAAGUGGAACUGCGAGUGUAGAGGUGAAAUUCGUAGAUAUUCGCAAGAACACCAGUGGCGAAGGCGGCUCACUGGCCCGAUACUGACGCUGAGGUGCGAAAGCGUGGGGAGCAAACA
This 402-nucleotide ribosomal RNA is filed under the name uncultured bacterium. RNAcentral's name for it is "bacterial SSU rRNA". It matches the Rfam family "Bacterial small subunit ribosomal RNA", at positions 355 to 774 of the family's 1533-position model. The record is from RNAcentral.